AACGAACGCUGGCGGCAUGCCUAACACAUGCAAGUCGAACGAGACCUUCGGGUCUAGUGGCGCACGGGUGCGUAACGCGUGGGAACCUGCCCUUAGGUUCGGAAUAACUCCCCGAAAGGGGUGCUAAUACCGGAUAAUGUCUUCGGACCAAAGAUUUAUCGCCUUUGGAUGGGCCCGCGUUGGAUUAGCUAGUUGGUAGGGUAAAAGCCUACCAAGGCGACGAUCCAUAGCUGGUCUGAGAGGAUGAUCAGCCACACUGGGACUGAGACACGGCCCAGACUCCGACGGGAGGCAGCAGUGGGGAAUAUUGGUCAAUGGGCGAAAGCCUGAUCCAGCAAUGCCGCGUGAGUGAUGAAGGCCUUAGGGUUGUAAAGCUCUUUUACCCGGGAUGAUAAUGACAGUACCGGGAGAAUAAGCUCCGGCUAACUCCGUG
Molecule: ribosomal RNA, 433 nt
Filed under: uncultured bacterium
Lineage: Bacteria
Description: partial 16S ribosomal RNA
Rfam family: Bacterial small subunit ribosomal RNA
Source: RNAcentral